This 465-nucleotide ribosomal RNA is filed under the name uncultured Klebsiella sp. Its description in RNAcentral is "bacterial SSU rRNA". It matches the Rfam family "Bacterial small subunit ribosomal RNA", at positions 338 to 795 of the family's 1533-position model. Lineage: Bacteria; Pseudomonadati; Pseudomonadota; Gammaproteobacteria; Enterobacterales; Enterobacteriaceae. The record is from RNAcentral.
CCUACGGGUGGCAGCAGUGGGGAAUAUUGCACAAUGGGCGCAAGCCUGAUGCAGCCAUGCCGCGUGUGUGAAGAAGGCCUUCGGGUUGUAAAGCACUUUCAGCGGGGAGGAAGGCGGUGAGGUUAAUAACCUCAUCGAUUGACGUUACCCGCAGAAGAAGCACCGGCUAACUCCGUGCCAGCAGCCGCGGUAAUACGGAGGGUGCAAGCGUUAAUCGGAAUUACUGGGCGUAAAGCGCACGCAGGCGGUCUGUCAAGUCGGAUGUGAAAUCCCCGGGCUCAACCUGGGAACUGCAUUCGAAACUGGCAGGCUAGAGUCUUGUAGAGGGGGGUAGAAUUCCAGGUGGAGCGGUGAAAUGCGUAGAGAUCUGGAGGAAUACCGGUGGCGAAGGCGGCCCCCUGGACAAAGACUGACGCUCAGGUGCGAAAGCGUGGGGAGCAAACAGGAUUAGAUACCCGUGUAGUC